CGUUUAAGGUUGAUGACGGGGAUGCGUAUUAAGUAGGUCUGUAUGAUCGCACCAUUGAGGGCAUGUUUGUUUCACCGAAACUAGACUUUGGGUUGUAGUGGACUUUGAGUUGAAGAGGAGUUCGGUGAAAACUACUUCCUCCCCGCUGUUUGUUUCGUAGCUAUGGAAGUGAAGUUCCAUUAGUUCUGCUGUUUGUUUGGUAGAAAAUAUAUGAUGUAAAAGUAUAAUUUAUAUAUAAAUAAUAAAUAUUUUAAUAAAUAAAAAUAAUAUAAGUAUAUUUGUAUAUAAUUAAAAUUUAAUUUAAAAUAACUAAAUAAUUUUUUUAUACAUAAAUUAUAGUAAUACAAUAAUAAAAUUAUAAAGUAAAAAAAUAUUAAUACUUAAUUAAUCAACUUUUAUCAUAUUUUAAAUGUAUAAACUAAAUAAAGAAAAUAUUAAAACUUAACUAAUCAAUUUUUAUCAUAUUUUAGAUAUAUUAACUGAAUAAAAAAAUAAUUAGUAACAUAAUUAAGUAUAUUUAAAUAUAACUAUCUUUAUCUAUUAUAUUAUUUUAUUAUUUUUUCUUCAUCUCUCUUCACCGUAAUUGACUUCGGCUCAUGAUGGGGCGAAGUCAAUUACACUGUUUGAGGUUAACUCGAGUUGCGACCGUAACUUUUUUACGGCGAACCAAACAACGGAAGUGACCGUUUAGGGUGAAAACGACUUCCCUCCUCUCCACUUUCAUCCCACUUCCACCCAAACAAACAUGCCCUGAGAGUAGCUCCAGUUCCGU
RNAcentral lists this long non-coding RNA (772 nucleotides) under Ananas comosus (pineapple). RNAcentral's name for it is "long non-coding RNA (ACOM_LNC013085)". The record is from RNAcentral. Lineage: Eukaryota; Viridiplantae; Streptophyta; Magnoliopsida; Poales; Bromeliaceae.